This 253-nucleotide ribosomal RNA is filed under the name uncultured bacterium. RNAcentral describes it as "partial 16S ribosomal RNA". It matches the Rfam family "Bacterial small subunit ribosomal RNA", at positions 524 to 776 of the family's 1533-position model. The record is from RNAcentral.
UACGGAGGGGGCAAGCGUUGUUCGGAAUUACUGGGCGUAAAGGGCGCGCAGGCGGCUGCUCAAGUCAGGCGUGAAAGCCCUAAGCUCAACUUAGGAACUGCAUUCGAAACUGAAGGUCUAGAGUAGUGGAGAGGGAAGCAGAAUUCCUGGUGUAGAGGUGAAAUUCGUAGAUAUCAGGAGGAACACCGGUGGCGAAGGCGGCUUCCUGGCCACUUACUGACACUGAGACGCGAAAGCGUGGGGAGCAAACAGG